CCGGCUCAAACUCAGGAGUGCCCGGGAAGAAUGUAGGUCGUGAGAAGGUCGGAGCGCAACUUUUCGAAGCUGUCUACCACCACUGCUGCGCUUGUGGAUGACUGCAGGAACACCGGGUACUUGCCACAAGUAUCUCUCCAGAUUCAUCAGCCUUUCACCUGUGACAAGCUCAGUCAAGAAGUGGCUCCUAAGUAAAAGCUGGGGAAGAACAAGGAAGAUAGAGCUCAGAGUAGAAAGCUGUGAAGUUCUGCACAACAGGUCCCCUUGGCCUGCUCUAACAGUUGGAAGGUGGGGGAAGCAUUCAUUUACUCAACAAAUAUAUACUGAGUGCCUUUUGCAUGCUAGGCACGCUUCUAGGGGUUGAGGACACAGCAGAGAGCACAAACAACAAUUCCAGCCCUCGUGGAGCUUACCUCUUCCACGUGGGAAAGACAGAUGGUAAAUGUAUAAGGACAAUAUAUGGACUGCUGUAUGAUUAGAAAUGCUAUGGAGAGGCUAGGAGUGCUGUCUCAUGCCUGUAAUCCCGCAGUUUGGGAGGCCAAAGGAGGAGGAUCACUUGAGGCCAGAAGUUGGAGACCCAACCUGGGCAACAUAACAGGCAUGGUAGCUCAUGUGGAAGCUUCCCGAGGCCCUCACCCAGAAGCAGAUGCUGGAGCCAUGCUUGUACAGCUUGCAGAACUAAAGCCCAGCUGGCUUGGUUCCAUGAAUCUUUGCCCUUCUUUCCAUCCACUUCUUCCUGCUUGGACAUUGGUUACCUGGAGAAGCAGAAGCCAUUUUAAGAUGAUGAAAGCAAAAGUUAAAUGUAUGAGAUGAUGGUGCAGAAAGCCAAAAGGGGCCUCCAGAACACUGAGCUUUGUGGAGUCGUGUACCAUAGCUGUAUUGCCGACCUCUGAACUUCCUGCUGAGAUAAAAAACAAUCCUUAUGUGUUUAUACUACUUUUAUUUCAGUUUCUUUUAAGUAUAGCAAACACAUUCCAAAUAAUAUGCAUCUGAAGUUUUUGGUUUUGUUUUUAAAUUUUUUUUUUAGGGAUGGGUUCUGGCUGCGUAGUGGCUAGAGUGUAGUGGCUA
This 1068-nucleotide long non-coding RNA is filed under the name Homo sapiens (human). RNAcentral's name for it is "HSALNT0322893". Lineage: Eukaryota; Metazoa; Chordata; Mammalia; Primates; Hominidae. The record is from RNAcentral.